UACGGGGGGGGCAAGCGUUGUUCGGAAUUACUGGGCGUAAAGGGCUCGUAGGCGGCCAACUAAGUCAUACGUGAAAUCCCUCGGCUUAACCGGGGAACUGCGUCUGAUACUGGAUGGCUUGAGUUCGGGAGAGGGAUGCGGAAUUCCAGGUGUAGCGGUGAAAUGCGUAGAUAUCUGGAGGAACACCGGUGGCGAAGGCAAUCCCCUGGGCCUGCACUGACGCUCAUGCACGAAAGCGUGGGGAGCAAACAGG
RNAcentral lists this ribosomal RNA (253 nucleotides) under uncultured bacterium. RNAcentral's name for it is "partial 16S ribosomal RNA". It matches the Rfam family "Bacterial small subunit ribosomal RNA", at positions 524 to 776 of the family's 1533-position model. The record is from RNAcentral.